UCACAGCUCACUCCCCUAUUUAAACGGCGCUGACUGCGGCUCCCGACAAAGCCGGCCUGAGCUGAAGCCGCCCAUUCCUGGAGUGUCCAAGUGUGUGUCAGUGCUCAGAGUGAUGGGGGUCGCUGCUUAUCUCUGUCUCCUUCUGUCCUGUCUGACAGGCGUUCGAUCUGCGAUCGUGCUGAAUCAGACCCCGACCGUGGUGGCAAAGCCCGGAGGGUCCCUCACACUGACCUGUGCAACCAGCGGGUUCAACCUCAGCAUCACCCCCAUGCACUGGGUGAAACAGGUCUCCGGGAAAGGGCUGGACUGGGUAGGAAGGUCGUAUAAAGGUGACAAAAAAUACGGUCCUGCCUUCAGCGGCCGAUUCGAAGUUUCCAUGGACAGCAGCAACGUCUAUCUCCAAAUGAACGACCUGAGACUGAACGACACGGCCACCUAUUACUGUGCGAGACACACAGUGAGAGGAAGCGGGGCCGGGCCGGUACAACAACCCAGGGGAGAGAGAGCCUGCCCUCAGCUCGGAGCCAAGCGCCGUGGGUGGAACUGGAGUCACGGGUCGAUGAAUCCCGGUGUCCGUCUCUGAGACACGGUCAAUAGUCGGGCGAGAAGGAACCUCUGU
Molecule: non-coding RNA, 619 nt
Organism: Leucoraja erinaceus (little skate)
Lineage: Eukaryota; Metazoa; Chordata; Chondrichthyes; Rajiformes; Rajidae
Source: the annotation of a RefSeq genome assembly